GAUGAACGCUGGCGGCGUGCUUAACACAUGCAAGUCGAACGGUGAAAGAGGAGCUUGCUCCUCUGGAUCAGUGGCGAACGGGUGAGUAACACGUGAGAAAUCUGCCCUGGACUCUGGGAUAAGCGUUGGAAACGACGUCUAAUACCGGAUACGAGACGCGAAGGCAUCUUCAGCGUCUGGAAAGAACUUCGGUCCAGGAUGAUCUCGCGGCCUAUCAGCUAGUUGGUGAGGUAACGGCUCACCAUGGCGACGACGGGUAGCCGGCCUGAGAGGGUGACCGGCCACACUGGGACUGAGACACGGCCCAGACUCCUACGGGAGGCAGCAGUGGGGAAUAUUGCACAAUGGGCGCAAGCCUGAUGCAGCAACGCCGCGUGAGGGACGACGGCCUUCGGGUUGUAAACCUCUUUUAGUAGGGAAGAAGCGAAAGUGACGGUACCUGCAGAAAAAGCACCGGCUAACUACGUGCCAGCAGCCGCGGUAAUACGUAGGGUGCAAGCGUUAUCCGGAAUUAUUGGGCGUAAAGAGCUCGUAGGCGGUUUGUCGCGUCUGCUGUGAAAACCGGAGGCUCAACCUCCGGCCUGCAGUGGGUACGGGCAAACUAGAGUGCGGUAGGGGAGAUUGGAAUUCCUGGUGUAGCGGUGGAAUGCGCAGAUAUCAGGAGGAACACCGAUGGCGA
Molecule: ribosomal RNA, 679 nt
Filed under: uncultured Actinomycetes bacterium
Lineage: Bacteria; Bacillati; Actinomycetota; Actinomycetes
Description: bacterial SSU rRNA
Rfam family: Bacterial small subunit ribosomal RNA
Source: RNAcentral